Molecule: ribosomal RNA, 253 nt
Filed under: uncultured bacterium
Lineage: Bacteria
Description: partial 16S ribosomal RNA
Rfam family: Bacterial small subunit ribosomal RNA
Source: RNAcentral
UACGAAGGUGGUUAGCGUUGUUCGGAAUUACUGGGCGUAAAGCGCACGUAGGCGGAUUAGUAAGUCAGGGGUGAAAUCCCGGGGCUCAACCUCGGAACUGCCUUUGAUACUGCUGAUCCCGAGUCUGGAAGAGGUGAGUGGAAUUCCUAGUGUAGAGGUGAAAUUCGUAGAUAUUAGGAAGAACACCAGUGGCGAAGGCGGCUCACUGGUCCGGUACUGACGCUGAGGUGCGAAAGCGUGGGGAGUAAACAGG